UUAUAUGGUUUUGGUCUGAUAAUGAUC
Molecule: non-coding RNA, 27 nt
Filed under: Mus musculus (house mouse)
Lineage: Eukaryota; Metazoa; Chordata; Mammalia; Rodentia; Muridae
Source: RNAcentral